UACGUAGGGGGCAAGCGUUGUCCGGAUUCAUUGGGCGUAAAGGGUGCGUAGGCGGCGCGGUAAGUCGGGUGUGAAAUCUCGGAGCUUAACUCCGAAACUGCAUUCGAUACUGCCGUGCUUGAGGACUGGAGAGGAGACUGGAAUUUACGGUGUAGCGGUGAAAUGCGUAGAUAUCGUAAGGAAGACCAGUGGCGAAGGCGGGUCUCUGGACAGUUCCUGACGCUGAGGCACGAAGGUCAGGGGAGCAAACGGG
Molecule: ribosomal RNA, 253 nt
Filed under: uncultured bacterium
Lineage: Bacteria
Description: partial 16S ribosomal RNA
Rfam family: Bacterial small subunit ribosomal RNA
Source: RNAcentral